GAAAUGCGAUAAGUAAUGUGCAUUGCAGAAUUCAGUGAAUCAUCGAAUCUUUGAACGCACCUUGCGCUCCUUGGUAUUCCUUGGAGCAUGCCUGUUUGAGUAUCAUGAAAUCUUCAAAGUAAAUCUUUUGUUAACUCAAUUGGUUUCUACUUUGGUAUUGGAGGUCUUUGCAGCUUCACACCUGCUCCUCUUUGUUCAUUAGCUGGAUCUCAGUGUUAUGCUUGGUUCCACUCGGCGUGAUAAGUUAUCUAUCGCUGAGGACACUGUAAAAGGUGGCCAAGGUAAAUGCAGAUGAACCGCUUCUAAUAGUCCAUUGACUUGGACAAUACUUUUAUGAUCUGAUCUCAAAUCAGGUAGGACUACCCGCUGAACUUAAGC
This 378-nucleotide unclassified non-coding RNA is filed under the name plant metagenome. RNAcentral describes it as "partial contains 5.8S ribosomal RNA, internal transcribed spacer 2, and large subunit ribosomal RNA". The stretch from base 1 to 105 matches the Rfam family "5.8S ribosomal RNA", at positions 50 to 154 of the family's 154-position model. The record is from RNAcentral.